Molecule: ribosomal RNA, 414 nt
Filed under: uncultured microorganism
Description: bacterial SSU rRNA
Rfam family: Archaeal small subunit ribosomal RNA
Source: RNAcentral
CAGCCGCCGCGUUAAUACCGGCGGCCCGAGUGGCGGCCACUAUUAUUGGGCCUAAAGCGUCCGUAGCCGGGCUGGUAAGUCCUCCGGGAAAUCUGGUCGCUUAACGAUCAGACUUCCGGAGGAUACUGCUGGCCUAGGGACCGGGAGAGGCCGAGGGUAUUCCCGGGGUAGGGGUGAAAUCCUGUAAUCCCGGGAGGACCACCUGUGGCGAAGGCGCUCGGCUGGAACGGGUCCGACGGUGAGGGACGAAGGCCAGGGGAGCGAACCGGAUUAGAUACCCGGGUAGUCCCGGCUGUAAACGAUGCGGGCUAGCUGUUGGGUGGGCUUAGAGCCCACCCAGUGGCGCAGGGAAGCCGUUAAGCCCGCCGCCUGGGGAGUACGGCCGCAAGGCUGAAACUUAAAGGAAUUGGCGGG